Molecule: long non-coding RNA, 387 nt
Filed under: Phoenix dactylifera (date palm)
Lineage: Eukaryota; Viridiplantae; Streptophyta; Magnoliopsida; Arecales; Arecaceae
Description: long non-coding RNA (PDAC_LNC011084)
Source: RNAcentral
AUCAGUUAGUUUUCAGAUCUGAAAAUUAUAAUUGCCGCAUGUGGUGAUGAUCAUAGGAUUCAAACCCUUUUGGUAUUAAAUGUAAAGACCUGCGAUGUGAUCUGCAAUGUCAUGUAAUUUUUCAGAUGCUUGCAUGCAUCUUAUUUGAUGUUUUGAGAGGCCUGCGUGCCUCCUAAAAGAAGAUGUAAUUUAUUAUUAUUUUUAUUUUAUAUCUGGUUGUAUUUCUGUGAUGUGAUGUACGUCAACGGUCAAGUUGAAGACAAGGCAUGAGAUGAACAGGGGUCUAAGCGGUUGAUAGCGAUUGGAUCAAGAGUUGCUCAAGGAUCGAAUCAAGGAGGCUUGGAACCAAUUCAAGAGUUGAAGACCAAUUGAUCGAUUGACGUGCAU